Molecule: long non-coding RNA, 889 nt
Filed under: Cyanistes caeruleus (blue tit)
Lineage: Eukaryota; Metazoa; Chordata; Aves; Passeriformes; Paridae
Description: lncRNA (ENSCCEG00000019600.1)
Source: RNAcentral
GUUGCCAUGGUAUUUUUUUCCUUCACAUCAUCACAUUUUGCACCAGAUUCCAGAUUUCUCACAGUGAAGGAAGGCAGCUGGUUAUCCCUCUUCAGUUUUGUUGGGCAAGGGAUAUGGAUUUGCUUUACUUCCCGAGCUGUGCUCAGUGACAAAACACAGGAAGCCACUGAAGAGAGUUCCACUGCGUCUGACAGAGCCAUUCCAACUUUCCACCAGCACAAAUGAGAGGACAAGGCAGCUCAGGGACUUCUAACACAUCUUUAAGGUCUUAUACAAUCAACUGCAAAUUUGCUCCACCCAAUAACCACCCAGUCAGCAGGGAAAAAGUAAUAACAGUCAAAACACUACAGCAGUCAGGCACAGAGGUACAGGGAGAAGGAUGCUCUAAGUUCAGGAUGGCCCCUCCCUAUGAAACUUAUCCAUUUCACCUUCACUGUAACAGGAAAAAAGUGAUUUCUAAAUGCAUCAGUAAUCUAAGUCCCAUAUUUUGGUCCUUUGUUGCCCCUGAAUCCCUUAUCUUUAUGGCAGGCUGUGAUAUUAUCUGUCUCACUGCAGGACAGAAAAUAAGAGGGCUGUCAGGAUGACAUGCAUCUAAAAGCAUGAGCUUACUUUAAAUGAAAGACCUUCCAACAAUUGAAAGUAUUUUCUCCUUUUGGUGUAUUUGAUAUUGCUUUACUUGCCAAUAUGCUUGGAUGGAGGGCAAAAAGCAGGAAAAUCCUUUCUAAUGCCUGUGCUCAGGCUGAGCAAUAUGGAACAGAGCUGAACCUCCUGUGCUUGGGAUUCUGUCCAACCACUACCACAUUCCAGUUAAAAUCCACAUUUAUUUUGCAUUAUGUAUAAGUCAGUAUAAUAGAAUCAAAUCAAACAAUAAACACAAACUGUACUUCCA